GCAUAUCAAUAAGCGGAGGAAAAGAAACCAACAGGGAUUGCCCCAGUAACGGCGAAGUGAAGCGGCAAGAAGCUCAAAUUUGAAAGCUGGCCCCCUCGGGGUCCGCAUUGUAAUUUGCAGAGGAUGCUUCGGGAGCGGUCCCCAUCUAAGUGCCCUGGAACGGGCCGUCAUAGAGGGUGAGAAUCCCGUAUGGGAUGGGGUGCCCGCGCCCGUGUGAAGCUCCUUCGACGAGUCGAGUUGUUUGGGAAUGCAGCUCUAAAUGGGUGGUAAAUUUCAUCUAAAGCUAAAUAUUGGCCGGAGACCGAUAGCGCACAAGUAGAGUGAUCGAAAGAUGAAAAGCACUUUGAAAAGAGAGUUAAACAGCACGUGAAAUUGUUGAAAGGGAAGCGCUUGCGACCAGACUCGCCCGCGGGGUUCAGCCGGCAUUCGUGCCGGUGUACUUCUCCGCGGGCGGGCCAGCGUCGGUUUGGGCGGCCGGUCAAAGGCCCCUGGAAUGUAACGCCUCUCGGGGCGUCUUAUAGCCAGGGGUGCCAUGCGGCCUGCCCGGACCGAGGAACGCGCUUCGGCUCGGACGCUGGCAUAAUGGUCGUAAGCGACCCGUCUUGAAACACGGACCAAGGAGUCUAACAUCUACGCGAGUGUUCGGGUGUCAAACCCGUGCGCGCAGUGAAAGCGAACGGAGGUGGGAACCCUUUGGGUGCACCAUCGACCGAUCCUGAUGUCUUCGGAUGGAUUUGAGUAAGAGCGUAGCUGUUGGGACCCGAAAGAUGGUGAACUAUGCCUGAAUAGGGCGAAGCCAGAGGAAACUCUGGUGGAGGCUCGCAGCGGUUUCUGACGUGCAAAUCGAUCGUCAAAUUUGGGUAUAGGGGGCGAAAGACUAAUCGAACCAUCUAGUAGCUGGUUCUGCGA
Molecule: ribosomal RNA, 909 nt
Filed under: Penicillium anatolicum
Lineage: Eukaryota; Fungi; Ascomycota; Eurotiomycetes; Eurotiales; Aspergillaceae
Description: LSU rRNA
Rfam family: Eukaryotic large subunit ribosomal RNA
Source: RNAcentral